UGGGGAAUAUUGCACAAUGGGCGCAAGCCUGAUGCAGCCAUGCCGCGUGUAUGAAGAAGGCCUUCGGGUUGUAAAGUACUUUCAGCGGGGAGGAAGGGAGUAAAGUUAAUACCUUUGCUCAUUGACGUUACCCGCAGAAGAAGCACCGGCUAACUCCGUGCCAGCAGCCGCGGUAAUACGGAGGGUGCAAGCGUUAAUCGGAAUUACUGGGCGUAAAACGCACGCAGGCGGUUUGUUAAGUCAGAUGUGAAAUCCCCGGGCUCAACCUGGGAACUGCAUCUGAUACUGGCAAGCUUGAGUCUCGUAGAGGGGGGUAGAAUUCCAGGUGUAGCGGUGAAAUGCGUAGAGAUCUGGAGGAAUACCGGUGGCGAAGGCGGCCCCCUGGACGAAGACUGACGCUCAGGUGCGAAAGCGUGGGGAGCAAACAGG
This 429-nucleotide ribosomal RNA is filed under the name Chloroflexota bacterium. RNAcentral's name for it is "Chloroflexi bacterium partial 16S ribosomal RNA". It matches the Rfam family "Bacterial small subunit ribosomal RNA", at positions 355 to 776 of the family's 1533-position model. The record is from RNAcentral. Lineage: Bacteria; Bacillati; Chloroflexota.